RNAcentral lists this long non-coding RNA (482 nucleotides) under Homo sapiens (human). RNAcentral describes it as "HSALNT0248769". Lineage: Eukaryota; Metazoa; Chordata; Mammalia; Primates; Hominidae. The record is from RNAcentral.
AGAGGACCUGUUUUCUCAUAUCAUCACAUCUGAUGGAUAUGCCAAACUUCAUCCAAAUUCAAACAGGCACACCCUGAAUGACAUGGGGAAAUGGAAGGAGAAAAAAAAAAACAAUGCUAAAAAGCCUAGAGAUGACCACAUAUGAAACGACCAUGUGUGUAAAGGAUUGCUGGAAAAUAAAUCAGGCUUGGGUCCCAGCUCCAAAAUGUCUCAUUAUCUGUAUUUGAAUAUCCCCAAAUUUGAAAAAUUCAAAAUCUGAAACACUUCUGAUCCCAAGCAUUUCAGACUCCUAAGAGUUAAUACGAAGUAGAAAGAGAAGUUGGAGUUAAGCAGCUCGUUCCAGUUCUGAUUUUGCCAUUUCCUGUCUGAGUGACCUGACUUCCCUCUCUGCCUCCAGCCAUGACUGUAAGUUUCCUGAGGCCCUCACCAGAAGCCGAGCAGAUGUUGGUGCCAUGCUUAUACAGCCUGAAGAACUGUGAGCU